AGAGUUUGAUCAUGGCUCAGGAUGAACGCUAGCGGCAGGCCUAAUACAUGCAAGUCGAGGGGUAACAGGGGAGCUUGCUCCUGCUGACGACCGGCAAACGGGUGAGGAACACGUACACAACCUUCCUUCUAGUGGAGGAUAGCCCAGGGAAACUUGGAUUAAUACUCCGUAAGAUGUUAGGGAGGCAUCUCCCAGACAUUAUAGUAGCGAUACGCUAGAAGACGGGUGUGCGUCUGAUUAGGUAGUUGGCGGGGUAACGGCCCACCAAGCCGACGAUCAGUAACUGGUGUGAGAGCACGACCAGUCACACGGGCACUGAGACACGGGCCCGACUCCUACGGGAGGCAGCAGUAAGGAAUAUUGGUCAAUGGACGAAAGUCUGAACCAGCCGUGCCGCGUGAAGGAUGAAGGUCCUCUGGAUUGUAAACUUCUUUUAUAUGGGACGAAAAAAGGGUUUUCUAACUCUACUGACGGUACCAUAUGAAUAAGCACCGGCUAACUCCGUGCCAGCAGCCGCGGUAAUACGGAGGGUGCAAGCGUUAUCCGGAUUUACUGGGUUUAAAGGGAGCGUAGGUGGGCUGUUAAGUCAGUGGUGAAAUCCCGGGGCUCAACCUCGGAACUGCCGUUGAUACUAUCAGUCUUGAAUAUUGUGGAGGCUAGCGGAAUAUGUCAUGUAGCGGUGAAAUGCUUAGAUAUGACAUAGAACACCGAUUGCGAAGGCAGCUGGCUACGCAUAUAUUGACACUGAGGCUCGAAAGCGUGGGUAGCAAACAGGAUUAGAUACCCUGGUAGUCCACGCCCUAAACGAUGGAUACUCGACAUUAGCGAUAUACUGUUAGUGUCUGAGCGAAAGCAUUAAGUAUCCCACCUGGGAAGUACGAUCGCAAGAUUGAAACUUAAAUGAAUUGACGG
RNAcentral lists this ribosomal RNA (912 nucleotides) under uncultured bacterium. RNAcentral describes it as "bacterial SSU rRNA". It matches the Rfam family "Bacterial small subunit ribosomal RNA", at positions 8 to 916 of the family's 1533-position model. The record is from RNAcentral.